RNAcentral lists this ribosomal RNA (219 nucleotides) under uncultured bacterium. Its description in RNAcentral is "partial 16S ribosomal RNA". It matches the Rfam family "Bacterial small subunit ribosomal RNA", at positions 30 to 242 of the family's 1533-position model. The record is from RNAcentral.
AUUGAACGCUGGCGGCAUGCCUUACACAUGCAAGUCGAACGGCAGCACGGGGGCGAACCCUCGGUGGCGAGUGGCGAACGGGUGAGUAAUGCAUCGGAACGUGGCCCAGUAGUGGGGAGUAACUAGUCGAAAGAUUAGCUAAUACCGCAUACGACCUAUGGGUGAAAGCGGGGAGUUCGCAAGAAACCUCGCGCUAUCGGAGCGGCCGGAUGUCUGAUU